This is a long non-coding RNA of Lagopus leucura (white-tailed ptarmigan), 323 nucleotides long. RefSeq lists it as uncharacterized. The record is from RefSeq and is a predicted model, not a curated record. NCBI's taxonomy places the organism in Eukaryota, Metazoa, Chordata, Aves, Galliformes, Phasianidae. The transcript has 3 exons.
AGAGAUCAUCUUUGGAGUGCUUGGCGAGCCCUGAUCCUUGGAAAGGGGAAAACCACAGGAAAAAUGUUAUUGAAAUAAAGCUCAGUCAUGAGGAAGUAUUGGAUUCUCUUGGCGUGUCCUGUUUAAAGCUAGAUCCAAGGAUCUAAGUACCUUCCAUGACUCAGCUGAGUCAUCCAAAGGCCUUACUGUGCAGUACUGAGGUGAUACUCAUGGGCAUAUGCCCCCAGAAGAAAGACACUCAUUAUGAAAUACCUAACUUCAAAACCACAAGCUGUCUGAAUUUUGGUUUCUUUUUCCUUUUAAUAAACUGCCACAACAUUUAA